AAGUCGUAACAAGGUAACCGUAGGUGAACCUGCGGUUGGAUCAUUAGUGAAUUUUUGAUCUUGCGCUUCCUAGCGCAUCCAACAUUUUGUGAACUGUUAUUGUCUUUGGCGGGUUGUGAGCUUGAAGCUAGGGAUUCAUUCCCUAGUGUAUAAUAGACGUCUGUUCACUAGGAGGGGUUUCCUCCCGCCUUUAGUGGUAAUAGUGGCAGCCAGCCCGUCGGUCGACUAGGCUUAGGCCUAUCGGCGACUAUGAACUUUUUGUUAAUUUUUUGUAAUCUGAUUUGUCCGCGCUGGUUGGCGGAUCUGUGGGAUUAAUAAAUGACAACUUUUGGCAACGGAUCUCUUGGCUCUU
RNAcentral lists this unclassified non-coding RNA (352 nucleotides) under fungal sp. RNAcentral's name for it is "partial internal transcribed spacer region". The stretch from base 1 to 46 matches the Rfam family "Eukaryotic small subunit ribosomal RNA", at positions 1786 to 1831 of the family's 1831-position model. Lineage: Eukaryota; Fungi. The record is from RNAcentral.